AUUGAACGCUGGCGGCAUGCCUAACACAUGCAAGUCGAACGAGUGGCGGACGGGUGAGUAAUGUCUGGGAAACUGCCCGCUGGAGGGGGAUAACUACUCGAAACGGUAGCUAAUACCGCAUACCCUCAGAUGUGCCCAGAUGGGUUUAGCUUGUUGGUGGGGUAAAGGCUCACCAAGGCGACGAUCCCUAGCUGGUCUGAGAGGAUGACAAGCCACACUGGGACUGAGACACGGUCCAGAAUCCUACGGGAGGCAGCAGUGGGGAAUAUUGCACAAUGGGGGCAAGCCUGAUGCGGCCAUGCCGCGUGUAUGAAGAAGGCCUUCGGGUUGUAAAGUACUUUCAGCGGGGAGGCGUUACCCGCAGAAGAAGCACCGGCUAACUACGUGCCAGCAGCCGCGGUAAUAC
Molecule: ribosomal RNA, 406 nt
Filed under: uncultured bacterium
Lineage: Bacteria
Description: partial 16S ribosomal RNA
Rfam family: Bacterial small subunit ribosomal RNA
Source: RNAcentral